UUAAAUGAAUUGACGGGGCCCGCACAAGCGGUGGAGCAUGUGGUUUAAUUCGAUGCAACGCGAAGAACCUUACCUGGGCUUGACAUCCCAAGAAUCCCCUGGAAACAGGGGAGUGCCCUUCGGGGAGCUUGGAGACAGGUGCUGCAUGGCUGUCGUCAGCUCGUGUCGUGAGAUGUUGGGUUAAGUCCCGCAACGAGCGCAACCCUUGCCUUUAGUUGCCAUCAUUCAGUUGGGCACUCUAGAGGGACUGCCGGUGUCAAACCGGAGGAAGGUGGGGAUGACGUCAAGUCCUCAUGGCCCUUAUAGGUGGGGCUACACACGUCAUACAAUGGCUGGUACAAAGGGUUGCCAACCCGCGAGGGGGAGCCAAUCCCAUAAAGCCAGUCGUAGUCCGGAUCGUAGUCUGCAACUCGACUACGUGAAGUCGGAAUCGCUAGUAAUCGUGGAUCAGAAUGUCACGGUGAAUACGUUCCCGGGUCUU
Molecule: ribosomal RNA, 481 nt
Filed under: uncultured Anaerolineaceae bacterium
Lineage: Bacteria; Bacillati; Chloroflexota; Anaerolineae; Anaerolineales; Anaerolineaceae
Description: bacterial SSU rRNA
Rfam family: Bacterial small subunit ribosomal RNA
Source: RNAcentral